AGGUUGUGAGACAUGUGAAUUAGAGGAUGAUUCUGAAUGGGAGGUUAAAAGACCUUCAGAGGUCAAAACUGAGGCAAAUAUCAAGUACAGUGUCAGCUCCUCUGCAGGGCAGUAUGAAUGUUCAGAGACUGGCCUCCGCUGGCAGUGUGACAGUGAUGUCAGUUUGGAGUAUCAGUUUGUUGACUGGGAAUCAUUACAUGAAGAUAUCAUGAAGAACUACAAACCAUGUGGAACUUUGAUGGACAUCACUGUAACUUCUGGCACUCUGAAGGAAAUUCAUCUACCUCACUUCAUCUGUGUAGAUUCUGUAUCUUCAUCAGAUGAUGCAGUGAAAGCUCUUAAUGUAAACGGCAGUGAAGCUUCAUUGGAGAGAUGUGACUAACCCAGAUUUCACACCAAGCUUCUCAGUCCCACCUUCUCACUCUUGGGAGUUAUUGCACAUUUGCAUCAGUACUUCACCAUGAAAUUUCACUGUGAAACUUUGAUUUAUCACAACAAAAUUGCUGCCCUUAACCUUCAUGUGUACCUGAUUUUACAGGAUGAAAAACUUAAGAAGGAUGUGAAGGAGAAGGAGAAACAUAAUAUGGAGAUUGUAAAACCAUCACCAGAUGAAG
Molecule: long non-coding RNA, 614 nt
Organism: Cyprinus carpio (common carp)
Lineage: Eukaryota; Metazoa; Chordata; Actinopteri; Cypriniformes; Cyprinidae
Exons: 5
Source: RefSeq, a predicted model, not a curated record